UAAAUAGCUAGGAUAUGUGUAUCUAUAGUGAUUGUGUGAAUAUAUUUAGAUGCUAGAAUCGUGACUAUAAUUACGUAUUUUAUUAGGAUUGUAUUUUCUAUUUAGUUGUCCUGUACAGAUUGGCUUGAGGGAAUAAUCAAACUCUUGAGGGAAUAAUCAAACUUUUCAAUCAUUCUCAAUAUUCUUUUUCUGUUCUAUUUUCUCACAAAAUGAAUGGCUUCAAACUCAUUAUCUAGCUCUACUUAUUUGGACAUCAUCCUUUUUUAUUUUUAUUAUUUUUUUCAUUGAAGUAAGCAUUAUGAAACAUAACUAAAAACCAUAGCACAUAUUUAAGCUUUGAAAUCCUGUUCCACUAUAAUCAGAGGAUCUAACCAAAAAUACUUGCUAAAACCUAUUCAUAUGCCUUUGUGAUAACUUUACUAGAGGCAUAUGGAAUGUUCCAACAUUAAAUAUUGUUUUCUUCCACCAAUAUUUUUCCCUUUGAGAAAAGAAAAAGAAAACCUAAAACCUUGUUGAGUUGUUAAAAGACAACUAUUUUGAGUCUUCAACAAAUCAUAUAAAGCAUAUCUGGAGUUAAUCUAGUAGCCAAAAAUAUCAAAUAAAAAAUAUAAAUACAAACUUUCUCAGAAAGACUGCUCUAUCUCUCAGACUGUGAUGCUAUUGAUGAAUUACGCAACAAUGGCAAUCUAAUCCCAGCUAUAACCCUAUUGUGCCAUUAUCUACUACUUCAGUAGGCAAAAGAAGAAUUUAGGCUCCCAUUCUAGGCCUAUGGGCUGAAUCAAGGAAGCCCAGCAAUAAGGUUUCCAAUAUUGUGCCACCACAGAAAAUAACACAAUUCAUAAUUUAUAGCAUUAAGGUGUAGUUUGACUUACUGGGAUAACUUGAUUGGUUCUGU
This 895-nucleotide unclassified non-coding RNA is filed under the name Hevea brasiliensis (rubber tree). The record is from RNAcentral. Lineage: Eukaryota; Viridiplantae; Streptophyta; Magnoliopsida; Malpighiales; Euphorbiaceae.